This 450-nucleotide ribosomal RNA is filed under the name Blastocystis sp. RNAcentral describes it as "SSU rRNA". It matches the Rfam family "Eukaryotic small subunit ribosomal RNA", at positions 457 to 925 of the family's 1831-position model. The record is from RNAcentral. Lineage: Eukaryota; Bigyra; Opalinata; Blastocystidae.
UUGGAGGGUAGGGGCAAUAAAUCACAAUGCGGGACUCUUAGUCUUGCAAUUGGAUUGAGAACAACGUACAACUCUUAUCGAUAAGCCAUUGGAGGGCAAGUCUGGUGCCAGCAGCCGCGGUAAUUCCAGCUCCAAUAGCGUAUAUUAACGUUGUUGCAGUUAAAAAGCUCGUAGUUGAAGUGAGGGAGUGUGUGGUUGUGAGAGCUAGUUUCGAGUAGUCACAACCUCCCCCCUCCAAUCGGUGUAGUGGGGUAUUCAGUUAUUCUACUACUCCUUUGGUCGUUUACUGUGAGAAAAUUAGAGUGUUCAAAGCGGGCGUUUGUUUGAAUAGAUUAGCAUGGAAUAAUGAUUGAAGGCUUUCGUGUUCGAUUUGAUUGGUUUGUUCAUGGAAGCAAGGUUAAAAGGAACAGUUGGGGGUAUUCAUAUCACUAGUAGUAGGAAGUGUCAUGU